Molecule: non-coding RNA, 1679 nt
Organism: Plutella xylostella (diamondback moth)
Lineage: Eukaryota; Metazoa; Arthropoda; Insecta; Lepidoptera; Plutellidae
Source: RefSeq, a predicted model, not a curated record
ACUUACCAGAAAAAAGUAACGUAACGUUUGUUCUAAUAAUAGAGUAUCGACACAGCGUGUCUCGCAAUCUUCAGACGCUAUUGUAGUGGUUAUCUGUGACAGGCCGUCAGGAGAACAUAUUUUCCUGAUUAUGACAAGUCCAUCUUCCAGUUGCUAAAGUUAGGAAAUAUUGGCUCUUUUAUUUUUUCUUGUGUUAGAUAAUCAUUACCCGACUUCAAAAUAAGGAGAACGUUCCUAAUUUAAUCAACUUUUACGUUAUUUUUGAGUGAACAUUCCUAUUAUCUUCACCAAAAUAACUUUGAUUUCGAGUGAUUUUUGAUUUUGUAAUGGCACACUAAUUGUAACAAUCAACAAGCUCUUUAUAGACCUACCAGCAAAUGAAUAGGUAGUUGAGCGUUUUAUCUACUUUUUGCAUUGCAUUGCAGCAAAUAUUCUUCUCAACCCAAUUGUCUAUUGUCAUGAAAUUAUAAAAAACUGUAUUGAAUUUCCCAAGCUAUCAAAUUAUACUCUAUUAAAUACACUAGAAAAAUGCACAACUUAGCCAAUGUUUACGCAAACUCAAUGUCACGCGAACCGGUUGUUGAUCAUUAAUAAACCGGCGCGGGCGCAGGCCAUACUACCAAGAAGGAAAAUUUACAUUCUGUACAACUCUUUGUCCUAAGGAGACGUGUUUCUGAACCUAAAUGUGCUUUAGGAAGUGAAUAUAAUUAUCUAAAGUACACACAAUGUUUACCAGACCUUUAAUAGUUGGUAAAUAAAGUCUUAACUAACUGUGACGAUAAAUAAAAAUAUUUCUUAAUAGAAAUCGUGUGCAUCGUGUUUAAAUAUUAGUGUAUUUUUAAAAUGUGGCGUAGUUAAACCCACGCCCCGCAAGCAGCAGCAGUGCACGACAGUGCUGCAACUUCGGCCAACGCGCUGCAGCGAUGACCUCUAGCCACCUUGCACUCUAGAGCAGUCGCCGUGACGUCACGAUGCUGGAGCACGUCGUGUUCGCCCCCACCUGGCUGCUGAUGAUGUGGUUGGGAGCUUGCAUACUGUUCAGCCCUUUUGCAAUAUUUUUUGUCAUCUGCCUGCCCCAGCUACCGCUGUUGGUGGUGAGACGCGCUUGUCACAUUCCUUUUGAGUACAUCUGACGAACGUUCUAGAGUCUGUUUGGAAGGUUCGAGAAUAAUGUGGCUAUUUAUGUCGCUGGUGGAUAAGUUAAGUAGGGUUAAGUAAUGUGAUUGUGAUGUUUUCCGUCUUUAAUGGUUAAGUUAUUUGUGUCUGAUUUCAUGUUAGGUGAUUGAUAGUCAUUGUUAAUUGUAUACAUUAGAACGUGUAACGUAGAACUUCAUAGAUCAAAGCCAUUUAAAUAAGGAUAUUUUUUGUGUGUUUUAGAGGCAUUCGUGAAACGCUCUCAAAUAUAUUUCCAAAGUUAUUCAUAGAGACCUGCAACAAUAGGGAGCUAGCACUAAACAAUAGUUACAAAAUAAAAUGAUUGUGCCUUUCAAGCAGACUCUAAUAAGUGGUACCUACAUGUAGGUAUUACAAUUAUUAUAAUUUCGAUGAGUAGAAAGUGCCCGCUAACAAUGUAAUAGAAUAGAAAUUUCAGAUUCAAUGUAAAUAUUAUGUAAGUACCUACCGACUUAGGUGUAAUCAAAAAAAGCAAAUAAAAUAACUCAAUAUGUUAUUAAACUGAA